Molecule: ribosomal RNA, 261 nt
Filed under: uncultured prokaryote
Description: partial 16S ribosomal RNA
Rfam family: Bacterial small subunit ribosomal RNA
Source: RNAcentral
UACGUAGGUGGCAAGCGUUGUCCGGAAUCAUUGGGCGUAAAGAGCGCGUAGGUGGCUUGUCAGGUCCGAUGUGAAAACCUGGGGCUCAACUCCAGGCCUGCAUCGGAAACCGGCUUGCUAGAGUCUGGGAGAGGAGAGUGGAAUUCCUGGUGUAGCGGUGAAAUGCGUAGAUAUCAGGAGGAACACCGGUAGCGAAGGCGGCUCUCUGGAACAGUACUGACGCUGAGGCGCGAAAGCUAGGGGAGCGAACAGGAUUAGAUA